GGCAACAUGGCCGAGUGGUUAAGGCGAAAGACUCGAAUGUUCGGCUUAUCGAAUGUCAUGCAAUCUUUUGGGUUCGCCCGCGUCAGUUCGAAUCUGGCUGUUGUCG
Molecule: transfer RNA, 106 nt
Filed under: Metarhizium acridum CQMa 102
Lineage: Eukaryota; Fungi; Ascomycota; Sordariomycetes; Hypocreales; Clavicipitaceae
Rfam family: tRNA
About the family: Transfer RNA (tRNA) molecules are approximately 80 nucleotides in length. Their secondary structure includes four short double-helical elements and three loops (D, anti-codon, and T loops).
Source: Rfam by way of RNAcentral